AUGAAAUAUUUUCAACCUGUCCUCACUCCCACUAUCUUGAUUGGGAAUUCACUCUAUUGGUCAUAUGUUCUUGGCGGAGCUUGCAUAAUUGAGUUUGAUUUGGACACGCAGAGGCUGGCAUUGAUAGAGCCGCCGCCAGAUGCAUAUGCCCACGACGAUACCGUUUUCGCGGUUAUGCCGGCUGAAGAUGGUGGCCUUGGCUUAAUCGUUGUGUCGCGCUUCCGUGCCCAACUAUGGAAGUGGAAAGCUGGUGUUCGUCACGAUGAUGUGACAUGGGUUCUGGGAAGGAUCGUUGAACUAGACAAGCUUCUUCCUCUAGGAGCAGCAGGCAAGAGGAAGCCUCUAGCCUUAGUGGGAUUCGACGAGGAAAACAAUGUGACCCUUGUAAGGACAUCUUGUGGCAUCUUCAUGGUCCAUCUCCAGUCAAUGACGUUCAAGAGACUCUGCAACAGUGGCAGUGCCAGGGAUAUCCAUAUCUAUAAUGCAUUCCCAAGUUUCUAUGAUGCAGAUAAUUUUCUUUAA
This 522-nucleotide ribosomal RNA is filed under the name Triticum aestivum (bread wheat). RNAcentral's name for it is "partial small subunit ribosomal RNA". The record is from RNAcentral. Lineage: Eukaryota; Viridiplantae; Streptophyta; Magnoliopsida; Poales; Poaceae.